Molecule: ribosomal RNA, 253 nt
Filed under: uncultured bacterium
Lineage: Bacteria
Description: partial 16S ribosomal RNA
Rfam family: Bacterial small subunit ribosomal RNA
Source: RNAcentral
UACGUAGGGGGCAAGCGUCAUCCGGAUUUACUGGGUGUAAAGGGAGCGUAGACGGCGGCGCAAGCCAGAUGUGAAAGCCCGGGGCUCAACCCCGGGACUGCAUUUGGAACUGUGCUGCUAGAGUGUCGGAGAGGCAGGCGGAAUUCCUAGUGUAGCGGUGAAAUGCGUAGAUAUUAGGAGGAACACCAGUGGCGAAGGCGGCCUGCUGGACGAUGACUGACGUUGAGGCUCGAAAGCGUGGGGAGCAAACAGG